Molecule: non-coding RNA, 349 nt
Organism: Coffea arabica (coffee)
Lineage: Eukaryota; Viridiplantae; Streptophyta; Magnoliopsida; Gentianales; Rubiaceae
Source: RefSeq, a predicted model, not a curated record
AAAACAGCUCAAGAGUUCUUCAAAUUCCUCCAUCAAAUCUUCACCAAAUCUUCUCUAAUUCACUUCAAAUUUCACCCACACUUAGUAUAACACUUGAGGAGUAUUUUGAGCUGCAAAAGGGAGCUAAAAAGUCACGGUUUUCUGGAGCAAAGAGUGACCAAAAUUUCUGAUCUAGUCAUCCAAGAAGGCACUCGAGGGAAUCUCCAAGAGGAACUCGGAGCGGACACCUAAACGCUUGUUUGAAAACUACUCGUUUGUUUUGAUUAGGGUUCGAGACCAAGGGUGCUCGUGAGUAGUACUAGAUUGCUUUCUUUUGAAGAUUUUAAGUUAUUUUAUAACGGAUGGCUAU